RNA transcript from Balaenoptera musculus (blue whale), 5307 nucleotides. It is a transcript of the gene named zinc finger protein 232, with no coding region annotated. Lineage: Eukaryota; Metazoa; Chordata; Mammalia; Artiodactyla; Balaenopteridae. The record is from RefSeq and is a predicted model, not a curated record. The transcript is spliced from 6 exons.
GGGGCGCGCCCGCGGAUUAGUGGGCACAGCCUGGUCCGGCGUCGGGGCGAAGGACGGCCGCCUGGUGGAGCACGCCGGAAGUGGCCGGCCGCCGCGGUCACGAUGUCCAGGGUGGUGGCGCCGCGCCGGAGGGAGGAGCUGGGGCUGAUCGCUGGCGGCCGUGCAGGUGGCCACGGUCGAGCGGGAGGCUAGGGGUGUCCUGGAGAUUUUCCUCCUGCGUUCCUGACCCACUGAUUCAUUGGCUUCUCAGAAGUUUUCUCCUGGAUGCCGCACAGAUAAUGAAAAGAAAACUGAGAAGGAGGAAUGGAAGCUAAAGCAGGAAAUUUCUGAAGAAACAGGAUCAGGACACCCUGUACAAAUACCCCAUGGAUCUAAAUUUUUAGGACCCAGUGAAAGUGAGAACAGCUUGGAGAGGCAACAGGUAAACUCAGCAGAGGCUGGACUGCUACACUCUUCUUUUGAGGAAAAGGGGUUCAGCCAAGUGAGCAUUACCCUUAAGAAAACCCUUAUAGGAGAGGGAAAGCUUGACGUUAAUAAGAAAGUGAGAAUUUGUGAUCUGACCCCAACCGUUACACAUCAGAGAGUUUCAACAGAGGAAAGAACCUAUAGGUGCAAGGCAUGUGGCCAGAGCUUCAAAUAGAAGUCAGGACUUACUCAGCAUCAGAAAAUCCAUACCAUAAAGAGAAUCUAUAAGUGCAACAAAUGCGGAAAGGUCUUCAGCAGGAGCUCUAACUUGUUUAUACGUCAGAGAAUUCACACGGGAAGGAAACCUUAUGUUUGUGGUGACUGUGGCAAAGACUUUAGCUGAGCUCCAAUCUCAUGCGACAUCCGCGAAUUCAUACCAAGGAGAAUCCAUAUGAAUGUAAUCAGUGUGGAAGAGCUUUCAGGGGAAGCUCAAACCUUAUCCUGCACCAGAGAAUUCAUAGUGGAGGGAAGCCAUAUGUAUGUAAUGAAUGUGGGAAGGCCUUCAGUCAAAGCUCAGAUCUUAUUAUCCAUCACAGCAUUCACAGUGGAGAGAAACCCUAUGAACGUAAUGACUGUGGGAAAGCAUUCAGUCAGAGCUCCCAUCUUGUUAACCACCAGAGAAUUCAUACUGGGGAGAAACCCUAUGAAUGCAGCGAAUGUGGAAUAGCCCUCAGGCAGAGUUCCCUUCUUAUUCAGCAUAGUGGAGAGAAACCCUACAAAUGCCCUGAAUGUGGGAAAGCCUUCAGUGGGUGCACAGUUUCUCUUAAACAUCAGAGACUUCAUAUUGGAGAAAAACUUGAAUAUGAGAAAGCCUUCAGUUCAGAUUCAGAACUUAACGGACAGCAGACAAUUCACAAGGAAAAGAAAUCUUAUGAAUGUAAUGAAUGUGGAAAAACCUUCCUAGGCAGCUCAGAUCUUAUUAGAUAUCAAACAAUUCACACUGGAGAAAAACCUUUUGAAUGCAGUGGAUGUGGAAAGGCCUUCAGCAGGAACUCAGUCCUUAUAGAACAUCAGAGAAUCCAUACUGGUGAGAGGCCUUAUAAAUGCAGUGAAUGUGGGAAAGCCUUUAGGGGGAGCUCUCAACUUAUUCAGCAUCAAAGAAUUCACAGUGGAAAGAAACCCUAUGAAUGCAAUGAAUGUUGCAAGACUUUUAAUCAGAGCGCAGACCUUAUUCGACAUCACAGGAUUCAUAGUGGAGAAAAGCCCUAUGAAUGUAAUGAAUGUGGAAAAGCCUUCAGGUGGAGCUCAGACCUUGUUAGGCAUCAGAAAAUUCACACCAGAGAGAAAGUUCAUGAAUGUAAUGAGUAUGGAGAAACUUUCAGUCAGAGCUCAGGUCUUAGCAUCAGAGACACCACACAGAACCCUAGGAAGACAGUAAUGAUAAAAUGUCUAUAUAUAUAUAUAUUUGUUUUUAAAUACUGUUGUGUCUACCUUUAGCCAUUGUAACUAUAAUACUUGGAAAAUUCUAAGCUUCUUAAGAGCGAUUUUCAUCUGAUUCAGUUUAGAGUGUUCAGCCUCAGGCUGUGUGCAGAUUUGUCCUUCCUAAACACUUUCCACAAAGACCUUGAUGGGGUAAGCCUUUAAUUACAUUUUCACUCCUUACUUUAUCAUCAGAGGUUCCACACCACAGGGGAAUCUUGCAAAUGGAAGAACUUGCUUGUAAAGCACCUACAUCAUCACAAAAUUGUGUCCUCGUGUGUCCUCUUCAGCAGCAUCAGGAAUCUAAUAACUUUUCCCAUCUUUUUAUCCAUAAUAUGAAAUGUACCAAGGGAAUAUAAGAUAGGUGUGAUAUCCUGAACUCUAGAAUGAAUGGUUCUUCCUGGGACAGAGUCUAAUCCAAAAGUCUGAAAAUGGUCCUGAUGUUUUCUCAUUAGAAUAAAUGUCAAUAUGAGUAGAUUAGGGAGUUUGAGCUUGUUUCUUCCAUUCCUAGUAAAAUCAGAUACAGAAGCAGCUAGUUUAAUUAGGAAAAGGAAGUGACUAGUAAAUCAUAGGACAGUUACCUUCUUUCAUAUAAGGGUAGAAGUUGUGAUGAAAUCUCUUCUGUAGGAUUUAAAAGUAUAAUGGCACUUUGGAGUCUGACAUACUGAAAUCCAGGUUCUGUCACUUUAAUCUAUGUAAUCUUAGGCAAUUUUUUUUUGUUUCUGAGCCUUGGUUUUCUCAUAUGUAAAAUCAAGAUAACGAUACCUCCCUUGGGCUAUCUUGAAGAUUAAAUGAGACAAUUUUGUUAAGCACUUAGCAAAGUUCUAGGCACAUAGUAUACAACAAAUGAUAGAUGUUUUUAUCAGUAGUUCCUAUGGGCGGUGAUUAUCUAAGGCAUUUUGAAGGAAAGGAGACAACAUAUUCUCCCAGGCUAAAGUCUUCUGGAAAAUUACAUGAUUCUGCAUUUCCUGAUCCUACUUGAAGUCAGAAGGGGCUUGGCUUAGUGUCUGGGAAGAUGUAACUAGAAAACAGAACGUAGAGGAGGAAAUGCUGCAAAGAGGCCACGCACAGGCCGGAAUUUCCCUGCUGUUUAAAUCGGCUUGGACGGCCCCUGGACCUACAACUGAACAGAAAAGCGAGGCCCUCCAGCCGUUAAGCCAAAAGGCCCGCUCACGCCGGCCCCGCUCCCCUGCCCAAGGACUGCGAUUCCCAGAGCCCUCCGCGACCGGAGAGGCCACGACCGCGGGUGCGCAGGCGCACAGCUGCCCCCGCGGGUGGGCUGGAAGCGCGCUGCGCAGAAGUGGUCAGAUGGGAGCUCCGGGUCCUGCGAGGGUGCCCUUGAAAGACUCCUGCUAGUAUGGGCCUUCUACAGAGCCAGUCCAGGCUAGGAUGGCUGGAUCACUAACAGCAGCUGAAACUCUGGCCCUUCAGGAUACACGGGAUCAAGAGAAGAUUAUGAUGAUGGAGCCAAAGGAAGAGGAACAGUCUUGGGAGUAUGAGACCAGGCUACAUGGGAACCACUCUCCCAGUCAGGAGAUCUUCCGCCAACGCUUCAGGCAGCUCUGCUACCAGGAGACUCCUGGUCCCCGGGAGGCCCUGAGCCGACUAAGGGUACUCUGCUGUGGGUGGCUAAGGCCCGAGAGGCACACCAAGGAGCAGAUCCUGGAGUUACUGGUGCUGGAACAAUUCCUGACCAUCCUACCGGAGAAGCUCCAGUCCUGGGUGCGGGGACAUCACCCUAAGAGUGGAGAGGAGGCUGUGACUGUGCUGGAGGAUUUAGAGAAAGGACUUGAUGAACCAGGACUGCAGGUGGGAAGGGGAACAUACGAUCUGUUGUGGGAGCCAGAUCAAUGACCUUCAGGCUGGACAGAGGGGCAGCAGUAGGGGGAGUUGCCAAGUUCAAAACUCUUUUGGGCCAGGUAGAGCAGUGAGUGUGUGUUUCUGUGUGUUUUUUCUGCCCUCAAGCCCUGAAUAGGACUCUAGCUCCUCUUCCUGCCCCUGUGCUGACUCUGAGGAGGCUCUCUAAAGUCUCCUUGGAAGCUUUGGCUCCACAGAAACCGAGUGGUGCCUGAUCACCUCCAGGUCCCAGGCCCGGCACACGGACCUGCACAGGAAGAGCCGUGGGAGGAGAAGGAAGCUGUGGGAGCUGCCCAGAAGAAACCAAGCAUCCAGCUCCAGCCUAAAGAGACCCAGCCUUUCCCAGAGAGCGAACAGGUAUAUUUACAUUUUCCAUCAGUUGUUGCAGAAGAUGAUGCAGAGCCCAAGGACAAAGGGUCGUUGCCAGAACCACCCAUUACUGACGUGGAAUCACAGGUGCUCAGAGAAAAACUCACCACCAGCACCUCUACAUUUGAAGCUGCCUCUGAAGUUGAGGCCCCUUUAGAGCAGCAGCAGAGAAAUCUCAAAGGGGAAAGACUGAAGCAGUCCCCCGCUCAGGGGAAAAGCUUCAGGCAGAUGGUUGUCACCCUUAAGACAACUCCCACAGGGAAGAAAGACCAUGAAUGCAGUGAAUGUGGUAAAGCCUUCAUUUAUAACUCACACCUUAUAAUCCACCAGAGAAUCCAUUCUGGAGAGAAACCCUAUAAGUGCAGUGACUGUGGGAAAACUUUCAACCAGAGCUCAAACCUCAUUCAGCAUCAGAGAAUUCAUACAGGAGAGAAACCCUAUGAAUGUCAUGUGUGUGGGAAGUCCUUCAGGUGGAGUGCUCAUCUUGUUCAACAUCAGAGGGUUCAUUCAGGGGAGAAGCCCUACGAGUGUAAUGAGUGUGGGAAGGCCUUCAGUCAAAGCUCAUAUCUAAGUCAGCAUCUGAGAAUCCACAGUGGAGAGAAACCUUUCCUAUGUAAAGAAUGUGGGAAGGCCUACAGAUGGAGUUCUGAGCUUAUCAGACAUCAGAGAGUUCAUGCCAGAAAAGAGCCUUCCCAAUGGACUGUGGGUGAGAAAGUCUCCAGACAGAAUUGUACUUUUGUCUAAUCAGUUUUAGGACUAUAUUCCAUAAAAGUUAUAAGCACCUUAAGAUUUUUCCUGUGUCUUUCUUGAUUUAGGAAAAAAUGUUUACCUAGUCCCACCUGCAGCUCAUCGCUUCAUGCCCUCUGUUUGAGAUGACUGUAUCAACUAGCAUGCCUUUGGCUGCGAGUAACAGCCAAGAUGCCGACUUCAUUAGGGUUCCGGGCCUGGCACAGAGCAGCUGUGCAGGCAGUGACCAUCCUGUAUUAGUAUUAUUGUGAAUGGGUCUUCGGUCCUGGCCCUUCCUCAGCCCCAUACUGAGCUGCCUCUUGGGACAGGGUCACAUCUGCAAGUGUCCAGGCAUGAGACAGAAACCACACUUGUUCUUUGAGCAGGGAACGUUUAAUACAAAGAAGUGCUAGCUAGUAAAGGGGGAUUAUCUGUUAAAGGAGGUAAUGAGAUCUUAGUAUAGAAAUAGCA